CCUCGCUUUCAAGAUGACCCAAUGGAACACCGAGCAGACCAGCCGUUGUGACAGCUGAGCACCAAGUUUGCUUCAGCAAAUUUCAGACCCGACCACGACUUUGACUUGACACGAAUGAAAGAAACAUGACACACUCAGGACAGGACAGAAGCCGGCCGGUAUAGCAGCACCAGCAGCUGAGAGCAUUUCAUUUGAUGGACACACACUAAAGGAGACAGUACCCUAAAUACACAGAACAUCACAAGCUACAAAAACUUCUGCAGCAGCACUUCGUUACCUUCUCAGCCUAUCAGAGCCUGAUGUCCUGGAAGCCUGCGUUGUCUCCCUGAGCCACCAGGGGGCCUCAGUCCCACAGCAGGACACAGGACAGCUCUGAGUUUGCCUUCACCCUGAACCCUACAGCCCCAGUCAAGCUGUCCCACUCUGCCUCCUCUCCCUCCUCUUCUUCUCCUUCUGCUCAUCUUUCUCCUCCCUCCUGGCCCCCA
Molecule: long non-coding RNA, 485 nt
Organism: Micropterus salmoides (largemouth bass)
Lineage: Eukaryota; Metazoa; Chordata; Actinopteri; Centrarchiformes; Centrarchidae
Exons: 3
Source: RefSeq, a predicted model, not a curated record